Molecule: long non-coding RNA, 1421 nt
Filed under: Homo sapiens (human)
Lineage: Eukaryota; Metazoa; Chordata; Mammalia; Primates; Hominidae
Description: long non-coding RNA NONHSAT072216.2
Source: RNAcentral
UGUGCAGUUUUGGCCAGGGGACCAAGCUGGAGAUCAAACAUAUUUGGGUUCUGGGUCUGGAUCCUGGUAGCCACCACCCAGGUAGCAAACCCAUUGCUGCAAGGAUGGGUGAUGUAUGUCUCACUCACCUUGUUUCUCAUCUCCCUGGUGUUCCUGUUGUCUUCCUUGUUUGGAUUUGAAUCCUGGAGAGUUCUGUUCUUCGCCUUCGUCACCAUGCUGCUCUACAUUCUCCAUGCCUUCAGCAUCUAUUACCACUGAUGCACAGGCACCAGGCCAAGGGGGAAAUACUCUUUGAAAGCCCUGAUUAUUUCUCCCCGAAAGCAGCUUCCAAUGCUUGCCAUCUGGAUGAUAAACAGAAGAUCCACUAAAACAUCCACAGGAUUAACAGAGCUUCCUUGCAGACUAAGCGAUGACACCACACUUUGGACAUUUAAAUUCACUCUACUGAAUAGGAGGAAGCCUUUAUUUUCCUUUUCCUGGGAAAGUAACUGUCUCUUGGAAUUAUCUGACCGUGAACUUCCUCUUCUAGCAAACUCACAUGAAAGCCCUCACUGUUGAGAAUCCCAGCUCCACUGUCAAGCCUGUUUGGGGAUUUUGCCUCAGCUGUGGGCUUCCCUAGAGUAGGUUCAGGGGAAUACUCAGCCUGAUUAUCUUAAAAUUGAAGAAGUGCCACCAAGGCCUUCAGAUCUAAUGCAGAUCCACAGACCUUGCUCCUGGUACUUGUUCAGCCUGUGCUGGGGAGCCAUGGUCCUGAGUUCCCGGGGAGGCUGGCAGGGUCAAGCCACCCUGCCCACCACCCUCCCACUUCCCCUCCCCUUUCCUCUCCAGCAUUGGGAUCCAAGGAAAAUCUGCAUGAAGCCAAUUUUGAGGGUAGAUUUGUGUGGAAAAUAAAUCAUUAUACAGUAAGACCUGGGGCUUGAGGGGUGGGGAAUGGGGAGGGAAGGGCAUAGCCUGCUCCUCCAUGAGUCUGACAUCUCAGAAACUGUGCAGCUGCCGGACGCCUGGGUCAGGACUCCAAGACCCCACCUCUUAAGGACAAGAAAAUGCCUGGUUCCUCAGAAAAGACCCUCAGGGAAGAAGGUGAAAACAUUACAUCCAAGGAUUCUCCUGCCACAACUGGAUUGGAAGAAAAGGCUGCCGCAUCAUCUCAGCGAGGAGUGAAGGAACCAUGUCCCGGGGACCGCGCUCCUCCACCUGCACUCACCCCCUCACAUUCUCUUAAGCACCCUGUGGCCCUUCGAGGCCUGGCAGAAUGGUGGUGCCCACCGGGUUGGGCCAGGGCUCAACGGGCAAAGUUGUGCACACUAAAAUAUCAAAUCAAGGUGCUUGGUUUUAAAGUAAAUGUUUUUCUAAAGAAAGCUGUGCUCUUCUGCUGACCCAGAUGAGUAGGGCACAGCCCUGUAACUGCACUUGCCUUCUGU